UCCCACGUAGCUCAGUCAGUAAAGCAUCUGCCUUCAAUGCAGGAGACCUGGGUUCAAUUCCUGCAUCGGGA
Molecule: transfer RNA, 71 nt
Filed under: Capra hircus (goat)
Lineage: Eukaryota; Metazoa; Chordata; Mammalia; Artiodactyla; Bovidae
Also listed under: 1 other name
Rfam family: tRNA
About the family: Transfer RNA (tRNA) molecules are approximately 80 nucleotides in length. Their secondary structure includes four short double-helical elements and three loops (D, anti-codon, and T loops).
Source: Rfam by way of RNAcentral